GCGGGGAUGCCGGAGCGGUCAAACGGGAUGGACUCAAGAUCCAUUGGCUUAGUGCCUACGAAGGUUCGAAUCCUUCUCCCCGCA
This 84-nucleotide transfer RNA is filed under the name Candidatus Pacearchaeota archaeon CG1_02_35_32. RNAcentral's name for it is "tRNA-Leu". It matches the Rfam family "tRNA". From Rfam's summary of the family: Transfer RNA (tRNA) molecules are approximately 80 nucleotides in length. Their secondary structure includes four short double-helical elements and three loops (D, anti-codon, and T loops). Further hydrogen bonds mediate the characteristic L-shaped molecular structure. tRNAs have two regions of fundamental functional importance: the anti-codon, which is responsible for specific mRNA codon recognition, and the 3' end, to which the tRNAs corresponding amino acid is attached (by aminoacyl-tRNA synthetases). tRNAs cope with the degeneracy of the genetic code in two manners: having more than one tRNA (with a specific anti-codon) for a particular amino acid; and 'wobble' base-pairing, i.e. permitting non-standard base-pairing at the 3rd anti-codon position. RNAcentral also lists the same sequence under 6 other names. Lineage: Archaea; Nanobdellati. The record is from RNAcentral.